AUGGCGAAGAAGAAGGAGGAGAAAGAGAAGGAGCCGCUGAAGAGAAGGGGGAAACGGAAAACUGCAAGAGCUGCUUUCUACUGUAUGAACGAGAAGGAGCUGGUAGAAGCUGCUGUUUCAUAUCUUACCAGCGGUGCAAGCGAGGACGUGGUUCUCCUGACUCACCAAAAGGUGGCGCUCUUUCCCUUUGUUAACGGUUGAAAUGGUUUUUAUACUGGAAAAAUAAAAUCAGCAUCAGAA
Micropterus salmoides (largemouth bass) is the source of this 240-nucleotide long non-coding RNA. RefSeq lists it as uncharacterized. The record is from RefSeq and is a predicted model, not a curated record. The transcript is spliced from 2 exons. NCBI's taxonomy places the organism in Eukaryota, Metazoa, Chordata, Actinopteri, Centrarchiformes, Centrarchidae.